AGUUUNAUCCUGGCUCAGAGUGAACGCUGNCGGUAGGCCUAACACAUCAAGUCGAACGGCAGCACAGUAGAGCUUGCUCUUCGGGUGGCGAGUGCGGACGGGUGAGGAAUGCAUCGGAAUCUACUCUGUCGUGGGGGAUAACGUAGGGAAACUUACGCUAAUACCGCAUACGACCUACGGGUGAAAGCAGGGGAUCUUCGGACCUUGCGCGAUUGAAUGAGCCGAUGCCCGAUUAGCUAGUUGGCGGGGUAAGAGCCCACCAAGGCGACGAUCGGUAGCUGGUCUGAGAGGAUGAUCAGCCACACUGGAACUGAGACACGGUCCAGACUCCUACGGGAGGCAGCAGUGGGGAAUAUUGGACAAUGGGCGCAAGCCUGAUCCAGCCAUACCGCGUGGGUGAAGAAGGCCUUCGGGUUGUAAAGCCCUUUUGUUGGGAAAGAAAAGCAGUCGGUUAAUACCCGAUUGUUCUGACGGUACCCAAAGAAUAAGCACCGGCUAACUUCGUGCCAGCAGCCGCGGUAAUACGAAGGGUGCAAGCGUUACUCGGAAUUACUGGGCGUAAAGCGUGCGUAGGUGGUUGUUUAAGUCUGUCGUGAAAGCCCUGGGCUCAACCUGGGAAUUGCGAUGGAAACUGGGCGACUAGAGUGUGGCAGAGGGUAGUGGAAUUCCUGGUGUAGCAGUGAAAUGCGUAGAGAUCAGGAGGAACAUCCGUGGCGAAGGCGACUGCCUGGGCCAACACUGACACUGAGGCACGAAAGCGUGGGACAACAGAUC
RNAcentral lists this ribosomal RNA (774 nucleotides) under Stenotrophomonas acidaminiphila. RNAcentral's name for it is "bacterial SSU rRNA". It matches the Rfam family "Bacterial small subunit ribosomal RNA", at positions 10 to 774 of the family's 1533-position model. The record is from RNAcentral. Lineage: Bacteria; Pseudomonadati; Pseudomonadota; Gammaproteobacteria; Lysobacterales; Lysobacteraceae.